GAGGGGAGGGCUCAGUGGUAGAGCACAUGCCUAGCAUGCAUGAAGUCCUGGGCUCUAUCCCCAGUACCAUCA
Molecule: transfer RNA, 72 nt
Filed under: Camelus bactrianus (Bactrian camel)
Lineage: Eukaryota; Metazoa; Chordata; Mammalia; Artiodactyla; Camelidae
Also listed under: 2 other names
Rfam family: tRNA
About the family: Transfer RNA (tRNA) molecules are approximately 80 nucleotides in length. Their secondary structure includes four short double-helical elements and three loops (D, anti-codon, and T loops).
Source: Rfam by way of RNAcentral